Molecule: ribosomal RNA, 420 nt
Filed under: uncultured bacterium
Lineage: Bacteria
Description: bacterial SSU rRNA
Rfam family: Bacterial small subunit ribosomal RNA
Source: RNAcentral
UAAGGAAUAUUGCUCAAUGGGAGAAAUCCUGAAGCAGCAACGCCGCGUGGAGGAUGAAGGGUCUAUGACUUGUAAACUCCUGUAAAGAAGGAAAAAAUUCCCAUUAGAUGGGAGAUGAUGGUACUUCUGGAGUAAGCCCCGGCUAACUACGUGCCAGCAGCCGCGGUAAUACGUAGGGGGCAAGCGUUGUCCGGAUUUACUGGGUGUAAAGGGUGCGCAGGCGGACCGAUAAGUCGGGGGUUAAAUCCAUGUGCUUAACACAUGCACGGCUUCCGAUACUGUCGGUCUAGAGUCUCGAAGAGGAAGGUCGAAUUUCCGGUGUAACGGUGGAAUGUGUAGAUAUCGGAAAGAACACCAGUGGCGAAGGCAGCCUUCUGGUCGAGAACUGACGCUCAUGCACGAAAGCGUGGGGAGCAAACA